UGGGGAAUCUUCCGCAAUGGACGAAAGUCUGACGGAGCAACGCCGCGUGAGUGAAGAAGGUUUUCGGAUCGUAAAACUCUGUCUUUUGGGGCGAACGUGAGUAUGGUGAACAAUCAUAGUCAGUGACGGUACCAAAGGAGGAAGCCACGGCUAACUACGCGCCAGCAGCCGCGGUAAUACGUAGGUGGCAAGCGUUGUCCGGAAUUAUUGGGCGUAAAGAGCGCGUAGGCGGGAUAGUCAGUCUGUUGUAAAGUGCGGGGCUCAACCCCGUGAUGGCAAUGGAAACAGCUAUUCUUGAGUGCAGGAGAGGAAAGUGGAAUUCCCAGUGUAGCGGUGAAAUGCGUAGAUAUUGGGAGGAACACCAGUGGCGAAGGCGACUUUCUGGACUGUGUCUGACGCUGAGGCGCGAAAGCCAGGGGAGCGAACGGGAUUAGAUACCCCGGUAGUCCUGGCCGUAAACGAUGGGUACUAGGUGUGGGAGGUAUCGACCCCUUGCCGUGCCGGAGUUAACGCAAUAAGUACCCCGCCUGGGGAGUACGGUCGCAAGACUGAAACUCAAAUGAAUUGACGGGGUCAUAGCUGUUUCCUG
Molecule: ribosomal RNA, 589 nt
Filed under: uncultured bacterium
Lineage: Bacteria
Description: partial 16S ribosomal RNA
Rfam family: Bacterial small subunit ribosomal RNA
Source: RNAcentral